AGGACGAACGCUGGCGGCGUGCUUAACACAUGCAAGUCGAGCGGAAAGGCCCUUCGGGGUACUCGAGCGGCGAACGGGUGAGUAACACGUGAGCAACCUGCCCUUAGCUCCCGGGAUAGCUCCGGGAAACCGGAAUUAAUACCGGAUAUGACCUAGGCCGACAUCGGCCGUGGUGGAAAGUUUUUCGGCUAGGGAUGGACUCGCGGCCUAUCAGCUAGUUGGUGGGGUAAUGGCCUACCAAGGCGACGACGGGUA
This 255-nucleotide ribosomal RNA is filed under the name uncultured bacterium. Its description in RNAcentral is "partial small subunit ribosomal RNA". It matches the Rfam family "Bacterial small subunit ribosomal RNA", at positions 26 to 285 of the family's 1533-position model. The record is from RNAcentral.